RNAcentral lists this ribosomal RNA (480 nucleotides) under uncultured bacterium. RNAcentral's name for it is "bacterial SSU rRNA". It matches the Rfam family "Bacterial small subunit ribosomal RNA", at positions 62 to 543 of the family's 1533-position model. The record is from RNAcentral.
UCGAGCGAGGCGGGGGGCAACCCCCAGUCGAGCGGCGAACGGGUGAGUAACGCGUGGAUGACCUGCCCUUCAGCGGGGAAUAACCCGGGGAAACUCGGGCUAAUACCGCAUACGACCGAGAGGUGAAAGGGGGCCGCAAGGCUCCUACUGAAGGAGGGGUCCGCGUCCGAUUAGCUAGUUGGUAGGGUAAUGGCCUACCAAGGCGACGAUCGGUAGCCGGCCUGAGAGGGUGAUCGGCCACACUGGAACUGAGACACGGUCCAGACUCCUACGGGAGGCAGCAGUGGGGAAUUUUGCGCAAUGGGCGGAAGCCUGACGCAGCAACGCCGCGUGGAGGAUGAAGGUCUUUGGAUUGUAAACUCCUGUCAGCAGGGAAAAAGGGAAGGGGCCUAAUACGCCUAUGACUUGAUUGUACCUGCAGAGGAAGCCCCGGCUAACUCUGUGCCAGCAGCCGCGGUAAUACAGAGGGGGCAAGCGUUA